RNAcentral lists this unclassified non-coding RNA (228 nucleotides) under uncultured fungus. RNAcentral describes it as "sequence contains ITS1". Lineage: Eukaryota; Fungi. The record is from RNAcentral.
GUAUUGAUCGCGUAUCACCGCAAAAAGAAAAUACAUUCUACACUGCUUUAUAAGUUUGUGUGAAAAAACGUGGGCCCCCCCUUCUGGGGGAACUCACGCGGUUGUGCACAAAGGGGUGAGAUGGAUGUGUGAGAGUGCUCGGGCGUGCACGACCUUUUCAAAAGUCAGCGACAACCCCAGCACCUCCAUUGUAUGAUAAUGAUCCUUCCGCAGGUUCACCUACGGAAA